RNAcentral lists this ribosomal RNA (595 nucleotides) under uncultured Gammaproteobacteria bacterium. Its description in RNAcentral is "partial 16S ribosomal RNA". Lineage: Bacteria; Pseudomonadati; Pseudomonadota; Gammaproteobacteria. The record is from RNAcentral.
UGGGGAGCUCUCCCAUAUGGUCGACCUGCAGGCGGCCGCGAAUUCACUAGUGAUUAUUACCGCGGCUGCUGGCACAGAGUUAGCCGGUGCUUAUUCUGUCGGUAACGUCAAAACAGCAAAGUAUUAAUUUACUGCCCUUCCUCCCAACUUAAAGUGCUUUACAAUCCGAAGACCUUCUUCACACACGCGGCAUGGCUGGAUCAGGCUUUCGCCCAUUGUCCAAUAUUCCCCACUGCUGCCUCCCGUAGGAGUCUGGACCGUGUCUCAGUUCCAGUGUGACUGAUCAUCCUCUCAGACCAGUUACGGAUCGUCGCCUUGGUGAGCCAUUACCCCACCAACUAGCUAAUCCGACCUAGGCUCAUCUGAUAGCGCAAGGCCCGAAGGUCCCCUGCUUUCUCCCGUAGGACGUAUGCGGUAUUAGCGUCCGUUUCCGAACGUUAUCCCCCACUACCAGGCAGAUUCCUAGGCAUUACUCACCCGUCCGCCGCUCUCAAGAGAAGCAAGCUUCUCUCUACCGCUCGACUUGCAUGUGUUAGGCCUGCCGCCAGCGUUCAAUCUGAGCCAUGAUCAAACUCUAAUCGAAUUCCCGCGGCCG